GGAAAGCCAAGAGCACCUGUAGUGUUCUGGAGGUAGCUGCACACUGACAUCCCUUCACACCCAGUGGCCUCUUGUGAAAGAGAAGGCAAUGCAAUGCCGUCGGAGACAAAGCCCAGCUGAAGAGAGGCAGUGCACUUGCUGAUGGAUACUAAAUGAAAAGCAGGCAGAAAUCAGCAAUGCAUCCAGCUUCUGUUGAGGGAGAUUCAGUGGAAUGAUUUUUAUAUUUUCAUGAAGAAAUUACAGUUGAAUAUUAAAACCUGGUAUUUCAGUUUAUCUGGUCUGACUCCCAUCUAACUAACCAACAUAGCCAUGGAUUUUGUAAAACUCACUUAGCAAAUCAUCUUAAUUGGUACCAAAAAAGUGAUGGCUAUGGAAAUAUUGGCAUUUCUAUGUGCAUAACUGAUGUUUUUAUGAGGAUAAGAGGGAGAGAAGAAUCACAUUUCAAAGAAGCUUCUACUGAAAUAAACUAACCAGAAGAACUAAUUGUGGCAUACUUAACAGCUUUGAGCUUUAUGUGUACACUACCUAUGUUUCCUGUUCAGCAAGUGAAUGUCCCCAGGCCGGUAGGGGCAAUGUGAAGAUGAAUCUUAUAUCUCCAAUUUCUCGAAGAACAUUUAUUCAUCUUCCUGGAAUUCACUCAUUGCCAGUUCUUUUAGAAAUACUGACACAGUUAAUAGUGUCUAAUGUCGUGGAUGACUGCCUUCCACCGAUGUCGUGACUUCCCACCCAAGAACCAAUGACUUCUUUCUCUGUGAUUCAGCUCUCCACUGACCCUCAUGGGCAAGAGUGGGGUUUCAGCAAUUAUUCUUUCAACCUCUAUUGAUUAAUCACACGAUAUAAGCCAGACACAGUUCUGGGCAGCAGGAUACAAUAGUGAACAAGACAACCCCAAAUCCCUGCUCUUGUGGAACUGACAUUUUCUCAUGGGGUGUGGGGGUUGGGGAAGAAUGAGAGAUGUUAAAUGCAAAACCAAAAUAAAAGAAAUUUUAAGAUCAUGUGAUAGGGAGUGGCUGGCUGGUCAGGGAUAGCCUCUCCAGGACUGGGACAUUCAUGGGAGUUGACAUGUGAAUUAUGAGAAGAAGCCGACAAUGCCAAGAUCACAUGGCAACACGUUUCAUGCAAAAGAAACAGCCAGCAUGAAGCCUGUGAGCUGGGAACAAGACCGGCUCAGGUCAAGGGACAGACAAAAAGGCCAACAAGGCUGAAAAAGAAUAAGGAAGAGGAGAGGGGUGUGAGGUUCAGCAGGAAAGAUCUGAAGGACUGGGUCAGACAGGGUUCUUCAGGACAUGGAAAAGAAUUUGAAUUUUUUAAAUAAAUGCAAUGAGAAGACACUGGAGAA
This 1339-nucleotide long non-coding RNA is filed under the name Homo sapiens (human). RNAcentral describes it as "HSALNT0401863". Lineage: Eukaryota; Metazoa; Chordata; Mammalia; Primates; Hominidae. The record is from RNAcentral.